RNAcentral lists this ribosomal RNA (253 nucleotides) under uncultured bacterium. Its description in RNAcentral is "partial 16S ribosomal RNA". It matches the Rfam family "Bacterial small subunit ribosomal RNA", at positions 524 to 776 of the family's 1533-position model. The record is from RNAcentral.
UACGUAGGGUGCAAGCGUUGUCCGGAAUUAUUGGGCGUAAAGAGCUCGUAGGCGGUUUGUUGCGUCGGCUGUGAAAUCCCGAGGCUCAACCUCGGGUCUGCAGUCGAUACGAGCAAACUAGAGUGUUGCAGGGGAGACUGGAAUUCCUGGUGUAGCGGUGAAAUGCGCAGAUAUCAGGAGGAACACCGGUGGCGAAGGCGGGUCUCUGGGCAGCAACUGACGCUGAGGAGCGAAAGCGUGGGGAGCAAACAGG